Molecule: long non-coding RNA, 1634 nt
Organism: Lates calcarifer (barramundi perch)
Lineage: Eukaryota; Metazoa; Chordata; Actinopteri; Centropomidae
Exons: 2
Source: RefSeq, a predicted model, not a curated record
CUCACAGUACUGACAAACCGAAGCAACGCUUCAGGCCUUGGUUUAAAUCUGUUCUCCGACUUCGUUCCUCCGCCUCUCUACGCUCCUCCUACAAGGUCAUGACCAAUGACGACACACGCACGCCUCUGAGUAUAGAUUAUCGAAAUGUUACAUUGUCCAAGUGUUUUGAGAUAAUCUGCCCCCCAAAAUUUAUUACACCUGACAAAUCAAGCCUUAUAUGUUUAUGGUGAACAUCACCAGGUGCAAUAGAGACGGUUCCAAGUGAUUCUGUUUCAGCCACAGUGAGUGUUACAUUCUGGACAUUCACUCUUAAGCCAGUGCAACUCAGUUUAUAUACAGGUGACAUCAUCUGACUCAAGUGUCCAUGGAGAAACUUGCUCCUUUGCUUGAAAGAACUGAAGCUAGAGCUCGUUCUUUCAGAAUGAAGCUAAUGUGAGUAAAAUGAGCAAAUCAUGUAUGUGGUCUGAUGAGUGGUCAGGAAAAAAAAGAACCUCAUAUGUCUGAUAUGCUUACAAAUUUAUCUUGUUAAUACCACUGGUAAGUUUACAACAAAUGCAGGGGUGGAAUUUGUUGGAAAUAAACACAGAUUAAAUCUCAGUUGCAACAUUUUUUUUUAUCACUUACUUGCAUAUUAUAUGGUUUUAUUUUGAAGGACCACUUGACAAGUCGUGUGUUCUCUUCCGGGUGUCUCGCAGCUGCGGCCAAGCAAACAUGGGAUCCGGUGCAACUCCCGUGACGGAGUCUGAAGAAGACUUUAAAAUGUUUAAGUCUAAAGGAACUCCGGCGUCUCUACCGAAACACUCGUACUGGUUUGACUUUUGGGUGUUUGUGGUCUUUGACAUCGCGUUAUUCCUCGUCAUGUAUUUCAUAAUCCCAUAAAAAGUUUGCCCCCUGGACUCUGGAGCCUGAAGACAUGGAGUGCUGGUCUUGCCCUGCUGUCAGGAAUGCUAACCAAGCUUUGACUGAAUCUAACACCAUGUUAUCCGAUAUCACAUCUCACGUCUCACAGACGGAACAUGGAACUGCAAGUUUUAUAAACGUGGCAUCCUGCGUUGGUAUCAGAGAUUUGAACCGCAGGACUCUUUCCCACUGUGACCUGUUGCCAGUUGCUGUUGACUGUCUUUCUUCAUGGAUGGAUUCAUGUUAUUGUCAUGGGGAAGAGAUAUAAUUCUAAUAUUUGUAUCAUUAAAAAAUGGCAGUGGCGCUAUUAGGACUUGUAAAAUGUACUUGCUCUAAUAUCACUAUAAUGCUAUUUUAAGUAUUAUGAUUAUAAAUGUUACCCAGUUGAGCAGACUUGCCCAAUGUAUUUGAUUGAGUAGUUACUGCUAACAGAGUUAACUGUAACAUUUAGCAACUGUAUCACAUUCCAUUUUAAGUGUUUUAGUUUUAUAUCUUAAAAUUGUUUGAUCAAGUAGUAGGUCUUGGAAAGGAAAGAGAAUUCCCAUAUUUAAAAAUGUUUGUCUUGUUAUAUAAUAAGUUAUGUGAUGAUCCAGUGUGGGGUCAUAGAAACAUGAUUUUUCUUGCACACCAUGAAGAACAAUGUGUUGUUGUGGAGAAUGAUUCCAGCACACUAAAAUGCUGACAGUUUGCACAUGGAAAAUGCUGCAAAUAAAGUGUUUUGCCUACCUGCUAAA